AUACGUGUAGGGUGGAGAUGCACAACCGUCGGACUGCGUAGCAACAGGCUUUACAAGACGCGUCAUUAUCGUCCGCAGCGACUGGUUGAUUCCUCCCCUGACUGAGUGCUUCUGUCACCACAGCAAGCAGGAGCGUCGUCGCAACCCAACCGCCACAGGCCAACGGUUGCUAGACACUGGAAUGAUUUACGCCCAUUCCUGACGCGCCCUGACACCGACCGUGAGAGUCGUGUGUGCCAACCGCCGUUUCCGGCAGCCCCGGAAACCAU
RNAcentral lists this non-coding RNA (269 nucleotides) under Pseudomonas sp. 8AS. Its description in RNAcentral is "rne-II". It matches the Rfam family "rne-II RNA". The record is from RNAcentral. Lineage: Bacteria; Pseudomonadati; Pseudomonadota; Gammaproteobacteria; Pseudomonadales; Pseudomonadaceae.